UGCGUAGGCGGAAUAAUAAGUCAGUGGUGAAAUCCUGUGGCUCAACCACAGAACUGCCAUUGAUACUGUUAUUCUUGAAUAUAGUUGAGGUAGGCGGAAUGUGUAAUGUAGCGGUGAAAUGCUUAGAUAUUACACAGAACACCGAUUGCGAAGGCAGCUUGCUAAACUAUGAUUGACGCUGAUGCACGAAAGCGUGGGGAGCGAACAGGAUUAGAUACCCUGGUAGUCC
This 229-nucleotide ribosomal RNA is filed under the name uncultured bacterium. Its description in RNAcentral is "partial 16S ribosomal RNA". It matches the Rfam family "Bacterial small subunit ribosomal RNA", at positions 568 to 796 of the family's 1533-position model. The record is from RNAcentral.